Molecule: non-coding RNA, 1029 nt
Organism: Momordica charantia (bitter melon)
Lineage: Eukaryota; Viridiplantae; Streptophyta; Magnoliopsida; Cucurbitales; Cucurbitaceae
Source: RefSeq, a predicted model, not a curated record
AAAAUUAUGCAUUUUUAUGCUUAAAAAAAUGAAUUUAAUGUAUGUUUGCUCUCAAAAUUUAUUGUUUUGCCCUAUAUUACUAUUUAUGUCUAUUUCUUAUGCUUAACAAGUGCGUGAAAUGUACCUAACAAGUGUCCGGCCCAUAUUUAUUUUGUACCACUAGUGUGUGACACACAUGUAUUGAGCUAACAAAUGUCCGAAACAUGAAUCAGUGUCUUUGCUCAAAUUGUAGUGUCUGUGCUUCUUAGCAUCUUUAAACUGUCGAUGAUAUAAUCAUUUCUAUUGAAAAUGAGGGAAAAAGUUCUUAUCUGAGAAGAGGAAUGAGGAAGAAGUGAAUGAAACUAGAUGCCAAUUUCUUCAAGCAACUAUUAGAUCCCCAUUUUCUUAGCUGCUGAUAUUUACUCGUUCAUCCUCUAAAAUCUUAACAUUCUGCUUUUCCAUCCUUGAAAGAAUCUUAAUUCUGAAGCCGAUGCUCAAGCAAACUUGGCUAUCACUCUUGCUGAUGGCGAAGUCCUGGAGUAUGAAGAAUAGUUAGAAUGCACGGCAGAAUAUAUCUUACACAUUAGCACAUUUUUCUGACGAAUGCAUAUUUAUACGCCAAUCCGUUGUAUGCUACUAUUCCUUUCCCAAGGUUGUCGAGAUCUUUGGGUGUUGACCGUAACUCGUCCAACUGGAAUUCAAGUUGUGACCUUGCUGCAAUGCAGAAGUGCAGUUUACUGCAUAUCUGAGAUAAAAACUCUUCUGGUUGUUGUGUGAUUCAAUUUCAAUUGAAAGAUUAUCACUGAAAUGUUGUAUUAAUUUUGUUUACAUAUUGAAAAAAUAGUAGUCUUUGAGCAGAUAUGCUUUGUAUUCUUUGUGGAACCUGUGGAAGAAGCACAGUUCAAUACCAAUUUUGGGAAGGCUUUAGGAAAGUGAGUUCAAAGUUCAUUUGAGGAUGAGUUUUUAGGAAAUGUGUAAUAAUGUUGUCGCAUACUCAUGAAAUUUAAUUCCUUUUAUAGUUUGAGUAUUAAAUUUAAAUUAUUUGAUACA